AGCUCCAAGAGCGUAUAUUAAAGUUGUUGCGGUUAAAAAGCUCGUAGUUGAACCGAGGGGGUAGCGCACGGUUAAAAAGCUUUCGGGUCUUCGCUUCGCGUGGGGGCUCGGAGGUCGUGUGUCUGCCUUCGAAUUUGUGAUGAUUAUACCAGCUUGGGGGGGGUGCUCUUUGCUCAAAAGGCGGGGGGUGUCUUCUUCUUGCUGGAUCGCAGAGUUUUACUUUGAAUAAAUUAGGGUGUUCAAAGCAGACGAAUACGUCUUGAAUAGAUUAGCAUGGGAUAAUGAAAUAAGACCUUUUUGGCUUACAUUUACUGGUUUCUGAGGCCGAGGUAAUGAUUAAUAGGGACAGUUGGGGUCGCUCGUACUCGGUGGUGAGAGGUGAAAUUCUAAGACCCAUCGAAGACGAACAAGUGCGAAGGCAUUCGACAAGGAUGUUUUCU
RNAcentral lists this ribosomal RNA (440 nucleotides) under uncultured eukaryote. Its description in RNAcentral is "partial small subunit ribosomal RNA". It matches the Rfam family "Eukaryotic small subunit ribosomal RNA", at positions 587 to 972 of the family's 1831-position model. The record is from RNAcentral.